AUGCAAGACACAAACGUUAGUCAACAACAAACGAAAGAAAGUUCGCAACUUCCACCAAAGAUGUUGGUUUCCGGACAAAACAAGAACGAGGGUUACUUGCCCAUGUCUCAACGGUUCAGACCGGCUUGCACGUGCUCGAGCCGACCCGGUUCAGUUCAAUGUGCGCGUCAUGGGUAUGUUGUACCAGGGGAAAGGAUGAAGAAGCGCGUUGCGAGCAAAGAGAUUUUGAGAAGAGCUUUGAUGCCAGCGCCGAAACGGUUUGCACUUAGAUGGUUGAAUUUCAAACCGACACCUAGUAGACUCUCUGUCAUGUCCUUGGCUUCAUGA
Non-coding RNA from Vicia faba (fava bean), 327 nucleotides. NCBI's taxonomy places the organism in Eukaryota, Viridiplantae, Streptophyta, Magnoliopsida, Fabales, Fabaceae. The record is from the annotation of a GenBank genome assembly.